RNAcentral lists this ribosomal RNA (253 nucleotides) under uncultured bacterium. RNAcentral describes it as "partial 16S ribosomal RNA". It matches the Rfam family "Bacterial small subunit ribosomal RNA", at positions 524 to 776 of the family's 1533-position model. The record is from RNAcentral.
UACGGAGGAUCCGAGCGUUAUCCGGAUUUAUUGGGUUUAAAGGGCGCGUAGGCGGUUUGAUAAGUUAGAGGUGAAAUGUCGGGGCUCAACCCCGAAACUGCCUCUAAUACUGUUGGACUAGAGAAUAGUUGCGGUAGGCGGAAUGUAUGGUGUAGCGGUGAAAUGCUUAGAGAUCAUACAGAACACCGAUUGCGAAGGCAGCUUACCAAACUAUAUCUGACGUUGAGGCACGAAAGCGUGGGUAGCAAACAGG